AAUACCGCGUGAGGGAGGAAGGCUUUGGGGUUGUAAACCUCUUUUAUUCGGGAAGAAGAACUGACGGUACCGAAUGAAUCAGCAUCGGCUAACUCCGUGCCAGCAGCCGCGGUAAUACGGAGGAUGCAAGCGUUAUCCGGAUUUAUUGGGCGUAAAGCGUCCGCAGGUGGUUUAUCAAGUCUGCUGUCAAAGCGCGGAGCUUAACUCCGUAAGGGCGGUGGAAACUGGUAGACUAGAGUCUGGUAGGGGUCACGGGAAUUCCCAGUGUAGCGGUGAAAUGCGUAGAUAUCGGGAAGAACACCAGUGGCGAAGGCGCUCUGCUGGGCCAUCACUGACACUCAUGGACGAAAGCCAGGGGAGCGAAAGGGAUUAGAUACCCCUGUA
Molecule: ribosomal RNA, 384 nt
Filed under: uncultured cyanobacterium
Lineage: Bacteria; Bacillati; Cyanobacteriota
Description: bacterial SSU rRNA
Rfam family: Bacterial small subunit ribosomal RNA
Source: RNAcentral